UGAAUGACAAAAAAGGAGAAGAAGAUAAUGUCUCGGGCAGAGGGGAUCUCCUUGCCAACUAGCCAGAAGCAUGUAUAGGAAAAUCAAACCAAUUGGGGUCGUCCUUUUAGCCAAUCUUUUUCAAGCCCACUACCUCUUCCAAACGGAACCCUUUGCCAAGGAAAAAACUGGGGCAACUUUGUGAGUCUCAUACAAAUUUUUCAUCAUCCCAUGACCCAAGACUAGGGCAGCUUUGUGAUUCUCAUACAAAUUUUUCAUCAACCCUAUGCUCAUUUUCCCAAACACUAAACCGGGGCAAAUUUUUUCGUCUUGGCACUCACAUAUUACAUCUCCUUUGAGGAUUGUAGUACCCAUAUGUCGGUCCCAAUCUUCCAAACCAUUCCAAACGGCUCUCAUUCUCUUCAAAACCAUCCUCUUGCCAAUAAAUUCAAGCAUGUGUGCACUGAUGUCNCGAA
Molecule: long non-coding RNA, 455 nt
Filed under: Vigna radiata
Lineage: Eukaryota; Viridiplantae; Streptophyta; Magnoliopsida; Fabales; Fabaceae
Description: long non-coding RNA (VRAD_LNC009022)
Source: RNAcentral